CCUUACUGUGGCUAGCCUUCUAAUUUUACCCUUCCACAUCUCACACUCAAACCCCCACUCUCCCAUUUUUAUAGAAACGAAAUUCCCCAAUCGGCCAAUAAUUUCUUCCUCUUUCAUCGGCGACGACAGCGUGGAUUUGACUGGAAAUUCCCUACAGGUUCAAGAGAACUAUGUAUCCAUAUUCUACCUCGAUUAGUGUCGAAAAUCUACCUUUCUUUUUCUAUGGUUUUACAAAUCGAAUUCCUCUUACAAAAAUACGUGAUGAUGGCAAAAUAGUUCGUAAAAGUAAUAUUAACUUUGAGCUAUCUGUUUAGUAACAUAAGAUAUCUACAACAUAGCAACAGUUCUUGAUUUUCUCCUGCACUUACCCUUUUCUUGGUGAAGUAUCCUAAUAUUCUGACUUACGCAUAUAAAUUGGAACUAGAAUUUAAAAUUUUGUUGUUUGAUUCCUUCUUUUUUUCAAUUUUGUAAAGAAAUCAGACUAUAAUAUGCUUCUAAAUGUUUUCGAAUCGGGGAUUUAUAUGAAUUUUGAUCUUCAUUAUGUAAUUACAAGUGUUUGUAAUUUUCCUUGGAAUAUUGUUUUGUACUAAAUUUUUGAAAUUUUUUAAUGGCGUUUAUGGUAUAAUUAUAUGUUAUUGAGCAGAGAGGAUUCCUAGGUUUGUUUUGGAAUGGGAACGCAUGAAUUUGUGAUAUAAUGUUUUGUUUGCUUUUUAAUAAGGAUAUGCAAUGAGAAAGAUUGUUUUUGACGUUACAUGUUUCCUUCGUUUUGAUUUCAGUUUUCAGUGCUCAAUUUGUUUUCUCAGGGUUCAUGUUAGUAUUUUUUUGUUGAUUAAUUCUUUUAGGUUCUUUCAUAUGGGGUUUGGAAUGACGAGAAUUUGAAAUCAUGCUCUAUUCUUAUUAUUGAAUCUGCAUCACAUGUCCGACGACUUGCACAUCUAUGUUACUUGUUCUAAGACUUCGUUGCACAUAUUUUGCAAAACAAUUUCUUCAGGAUAAGUUCCUAAGCCGAUACUAACAAGCCAAACUUACUGUUUUUUCUUUUUCAGACUCUAUUUCCUUUCUAGUGGGCAAUACUUGUAGUGUUGUUAUAAAUUUAAAAUUUUGUAUGUAUACAUGUACCAAAACUCUGCAUCUCGUGUAUAUUUCAUUUUCCUUCUCAGACGCAUAUGGACUUCCACACUGCCUCAACUUCCAACCCCUAACCAAUCUCGACCCAAGCCUGUGCAAAGAGGACUGCCCAGUGGAUGCCAGAAGAUAAUCGAGUCUUCAUUAUCGCUUGUGAGAUCGUAAUAGUCGACGAGCACUGUAGUGGGAAGUGCUUCACGAAACAUGGCUGGCACACAAUUGUCCAAUUGUUCAACACCAUAUCCGGGCAUGAUUGGAGUAGGCAGCAGUUGAAAAAUCAUUAGGAUUAUCUUCGGGUCAAGUAUAAACGUCUCCAGAACUUGACAGACAGCACCGACAUCGCAUACGACUCUGCACGUGACCACCUAGUCGAGUCCGAUGAGUGGUGGGUGCAAAAGAUUAAGGUACAAAUCUGCUUGAAUUGCCACUUUCCAAAUUCGAAUGUUGACCAGCACCCUAGUAUUUGUUUCAUUUGUGCAUGGAAGUUUUACUCAAACAUGUCGCAAUUGGAGCUUAUGUCAUAACAUUUAGUUGUGUAAUUCUAUAUUUUUAUUCCUUACGCGGUUCCUUACUCGUUGUGCAUUUCUUUUUCUUCCAUUCUGAAUAGGAGAACAAAGAGUUCAAAGACAAAGACUGUAGAGAGACAUAUGCCUAUCGACUUUUGUUCGUCGACACGUUUGACAGCGAGAAGUAUGCAACGACGUUGAAGAAGCUGUGCAGGACUGGGUUUGCUAUGUUCGAAGACAGUGCAAACGACGACACGCGUGAUACAAUGCCGAUGUACGAAGAGAGCAGCGGCUCCAAUGAUGAGGGUAACAAGUUAGACAGGUCCACAUCAAGCAUGGACGUCUCCGACCGUAGGAGUGAAGAGAAACGUAGAUCCAAAGACAGUAAAAGCAAGGAAAAGAGAACUAAAAUAUCGGCUAAGGAAUUGUCGUACUCAGUUGAUUGAGCCACAACUUAGUCGGAUCCAAUGUUCCGAGCAUGAAGACAUGCAUGAAAGAGUUGUUCGCAACGCGCAUGAUGCAAAAGUAAACUUACCUCUACUUUUGGACCUGCACGUUUCUGUCUUUAAAGUGGAACAUGGAGGUUCUCGAGAUGCAGGAGGAUGCGAACGAGAAAAUGGAUUGGUUGGAGUAGAACUGGCACGAGUAUAGGAAAAGACGACCGCAAUGAGAACUGCGUGCGGGGCUGAAUAAAUUUUAAACGUUAUAGAGGGUCUUCAUGGAACGAGUAUUUGCUUUGUUAUUUUUUUCGUUUUAGUUGGUUUGCGAUUCGUCAACUUCAAAAUGUUGUUGUCGUGUAUUUUUUGUAUCCAUGUAUGUAGUAGGAACUACUGAGAUUUCAUGUCCAUGUUUGUCGUUUGUACUUAUACAAUGUUCACAAAACUGCUUGUUAGUUUGAGUUUGUCAACAAUUGUCAUGCAUAAUUGAGCAUCUCUGACAACCUAUCUAUGCUAUAAAGUUCAAUAGAUAGGGGAAUCUCUU
RNAcentral lists this long non-coding RNA (2612 nucleotides) under Olea europaea subsp. europaea. Lineage: Eukaryota; Viridiplantae; Streptophyta; Magnoliopsida; Lamiales; Oleaceae. The record is from RNAcentral.